CUGCCAUAGCGGCAAGGGGCAACAUCCCUUUUCCUUCUCUCGGAUCCUCUGUGCAUAGCAGGACCGCUGCCUCUAGCCACCGCAUUCUGGCCGCACCACCACUGUCAACCACCACCAACCCCACCCCUCCUCCUCUCUUCUCUCGCUUAGGAAGUUUUAGAGAAACCCAUGGAUCGGUAUGAGAAGAAAGGAAGAAAGAUGAGAAGAAAGAAAGAAAAGA
Molecule: long non-coding RNA, 220 nt
Filed under: Elaeis guineensis (African oil palm)
Lineage: Eukaryota; Viridiplantae; Streptophyta; Magnoliopsida; Arecales; Arecaceae
Description: long non-coding RNA (EGUI_LNC024718)
Source: RNAcentral